RNAcentral lists this ribosomal RNA (389 nucleotides) under uncultured bacterium. RNAcentral describes it as "bacterial SSU rRNA". It matches the Rfam family "Bacterial small subunit ribosomal RNA", at positions 28 to 417 of the family's 1533-position model. The record is from RNAcentral.
GACGAACGCUGGCGGCGUGCUUAACACAUGCAAGUCGAGCGGUAAGGCCCUUUCGGGGGUACACGAGCGGCGAACGGGUGAGUAACACGUGGGUGACCUGCCCUCAGCUCUGGGAUAAGCCUGGGGAACCGGGUCUAAUACUGGAUAUGACUCCAUGACGCAUGUUGUGGGGUGGAAAGCCUUGUGCGGCUGAGGAUGGGCCCGCGGCCUAUCAGCUUGUUGGUGGGGUGANGGCCUACCAAGGCGACGACGGGUAGCCGGCCUGAGAGGGCGACCGGCCACACUGGGACUGAGACACGGCCCAGACUCCUACGGGAGGCAGCAGUGGGGAAUCUUGCGCAAUGGGCGAAAAGCCUGACGCAGCGACGCCGCGUGAGGGAUGACGGCCU